CUAUUCUAUUCUAGAUGAAGUUAUGGGAAAGGGUCAAAUUAUGAUUUGUAAUAUUACCCUCACUAUCUGCUGUCAGUUUUAAAGACUGCCCCUUUCGGAUGUAGAUUUUAAGAAAGAUUGGUGGUUUACAUAGCAUUUUAAGAGGCUAUGACAAAAUAGAUGCUUUAUAAAAAUAUUAAAGCCUACUAGUCAAGCCAAGCAUCAAACAAAAUACUCUGAAAUGAUGCGCUCUAACAGUCAAUUCCAAGGGCUCUCUCUACUCAGUUGAAGCCUCAAGAAUCCUUUCCACAUACAUCCAAAACUGGAAGUAUGUAUGCUGAGAAACUUUUUGUCUUCUUAGAUUCAGAUGAUGAAAACUGCUGCUUUCAUCCUGGUGUUCAUCUUCAAAACUUAAAUUAGACCAGCUACCAGUGCUGUCAUCACCAAUACUGAGGUUCAUCUGCUGACUUCCAAGCGACUCAGGUGACUGGAAGUCUUCUGUUCCUUUUGGACUAAAAAGAAAGGCAAAAAAUUCAACUGGAGAGCAUCAGACUCUGAGGUGUAACUAUCUGAUAAUAAAGAUGACAAGAACAAAAAGGAUACACAGAGUUAAGCCAGUGGCCCAUCUAAUGUUUGUGUCA
Talpa occidentalis (Iberian mole) is the source of this 620-nucleotide long non-coding RNA. RefSeq lists it as uncharacterized. The record is from RefSeq and is a predicted model, not a curated record. The transcript has 3 exons. NCBI's taxonomy places the organism in Eukaryota, Metazoa, Chordata, Mammalia, Eulipotyphla, Talpidae.